Molecule: long non-coding RNA, 450 nt
Filed under: Canis lupus familiaris (dog)
Lineage: Eukaryota; Metazoa; Chordata; Mammalia; Carnivora; Canidae
Description: lncRNA (ENSCAFG00845003118.1)
Source: RNAcentral
AUGGCAUGUCACAGCCCUGGGCGCUCGGGGAUCUCCUCUCCCCUCACGCCGGUGGGAGAGGAAGGGAUCCCAAACGGCACCCUGUCCACCUCCGACGCCAACCGUCCCCUGGUGCAGAGGAAACCAGCUUUCUGCUGGUCGGAGGAGCGUUUCAGAAGAGGAAGCAAAAACCGAGCUGGGUGUUUGGGUGGUGUUUGUCCCCGACGCACCACCCACCCUGACCUACAGAUGCGCAGAGACACAGACAGAGCCAGGGGGUCGUCUCCUGUGAGUGCUGGUCUGGCACGGGCCACAGGCUCAGCCUGCUGCGAACUGCAGAUACCCGGGAACUCUAACGUGUCCCCAUCCUAAGCCAGCUCAGUGGUGGCCCUACUUAACCAACGACUUGGAGGGAGGGAACAGUAUUCUUUCCCAUAAACGACUAGGCUACAUUGAGUUUAGACGAACGCG